AGAGUUAAACAGUACGUGAAAUUGUUGAAAGGGAAACGAUUGAGAUCAGUGUUGCCUUCUGGAAAUCAGCUUGUCAGCAAUGGCGGGUGCACUUUUCAGCUGGCAGGUCAGCAUUGGUUCCGUGCAGAGGACAUUAGUACAGAAAGGUGGCCUUCGCUUCGGCGUUGGUGUUAUAGUCUGUGCGAAUACUCUGUAUGGGACCAAGGAACGCGAUGUAAGCUUAGCGUGCGAAGGCGUCACUGUGUGGAUUACGCUUGCUGGAUGCCUAGCAAACUGUAGGUACACUCUAUGCACUGGCGUUCUAGUAACAUUACAUCAAGGAUGUUGACGAAAUGGUUUUAAACGACC
Molecule: ribosomal RNA, 348 nt
Filed under: uncultured fungus
Lineage: Eukaryota; Fungi
Description: eukaryotic LSU rRNA
Source: RNAcentral